This 1614-nucleotide long non-coding RNA is filed under the name Androctonus crassicauda. Lineage: Eukaryota; Metazoa; Arthropoda; Arachnida; Scorpiones; Buthidae. The record is from RNAcentral.
AAGAUGAUGUCAGGAUGAGGAUGAAACUCCUCUUCACAUUUUGUGUGAAUGUAUGGCCUUUUUAGGGCUAAGAUAUGAUCAUCCUGGGUUGCAUUUUCCUGCAUCAGAUCUUUUUACAGUCUCAUUUGAAGAAGAUACUGUAUUUCAUGAUUAAGAUGGGACUUCUUAUGAGAUAAUCCUGAUAGGGAUGCACAAUAGGCCAUUGGUGGUUGUGGUGCUAGGGCUGUGUAAUGCCCCCUUUCCUACAUCUACAUCUAUAGCAGACACACUCAAGAAUGUAGCCAAUCUAAUCUGUUAUGAAUCAUAUUUUAUAUUUCAGGAUAAGUUUUAUAGACAACAGCAAAAAGUACCUAUCAGGAGUAUGAUAGUGGGUGUCCUAACUGAAAUUCUGUUACCUCAUAUAGAAGAAAGAAUUUUAAUAAACUUUAAUGCCUCUAUAAAAUUUUGAGAUAAGAUACAUUGACACCUUUUAUUAUUUGGUUGGACCAAGAUAGGAUGGCUGACUUACAAAAAAUCUUUGCUAAUGUAAAUGUUGGUUUCACACUUAAACUAAAUCAAAAAAGCAUUAAUGAAAUGCAUUUCCUAAAUAUAAAUUUACAAACAGUAUAGAAUAGUUAUAUUAGAAAAGUAUUUAGGAAGCAUAUAUAUAUAUACACAUCAAUUUUAAUACCACUAUGGUCAAACAACCUACCUGAAUCUAAGAGAGCAUCAUUUACAUCCUUUUCAAACAGCUAUUUACUCAUUGCAUGCAAGACUUUGAUAGAAAACAAUAAUACCAUAGGAUUGUGUGUGAUGAUAGGAAAUAUGACUAUAUGCACAAUAUGUGCAGGCCAUUUACAUGAAAGUUGUAGAAAUUAUGAACAAUAUUGACAGUUUUACCACCCAAAAUCUGAAACUAACAGUUAAAUAGAUGCAAUACAUGAUAGGAUGCUGGUUCUCUAUUCCCAUACAAACUUAUAGUUUAGUUUUAAAAAAAUUACUAAGAAGGGUGCUGGCAACUAGCAUAAAAAUGUAAUCCACAUAGUAUUUAUCAUCUUAUGUAAUGAUAAGAAUAUAGACAGGGUUUUAUAUUGUCAUUUGCCAUAUCAGGGUUUUAUAUUGUCCUGUUUUAAAAUAAUAGCUUGUGUAGAACAGAGGAAUAUAUGGAGGUAACCAAACAUAAUCUUAAGGAUAGAGUCAAUGAGAUUAAAAAUGAUCUUAGGUUGGGCAAAAAUGAUAACAGUUCUCCAAAAAGUUUAUCUAAUAUGACUUAAACAUUGAAUGAGACAAAACUGAAAUAGUUAAGCAUCUGAUAUAAGCUAAACAUUGUUUCCUCAAAGAACCUUUAGUGAUAGAAGAAAAAAAUGAAACAUCAUAAAUGACCAGCCUCUGGAAAGCCUUGUUCUCCAGCCUUGUUCUCAAAAAUUUGGUUGUUUGCUAUUAUGAAUAAUCUGAAGAUCUCUUUACUUUAACUACUACUAUCCACCUUAUUUUAAUUUUUAAAUAAAAUUGAAGCACUUACUGCAGUAUAGGAAAAAACUUUAAUCUAUAAAUGAACAAACAUUUUGGCAUAUUAUGCCAUCAUCGGGUUUGAUUCUGUUUUGAAUUUUCAAAUUUCAAUAGAACAUAAAUUUA